UACGGGGGGGGCAAGCGUUGUUCGAAAUUACUGGGCGUAAAGGGCUCGUAGGUGGCCAACUAAGUCGGACGUGAAAUCCCUCAGCUUAACUGGGGAACUGCGUCCGAUACUGGAUGGCUCGAGUUUGGGAGAGGGAUGCGGAAUUCCAGGUGUAGCGGUGAAAUGCGUAGAUAUCUGGAGGAACACCGGUGGCGAAGGCGGCAUCCUGGACCAACACUGACACUGAGGAGCGAAAGCCAGGGGAGCAAACGGG
This 253-nucleotide ribosomal RNA is filed under the name uncultured bacterium. Its description in RNAcentral is "partial 16S ribosomal RNA". It matches the Rfam family "Bacterial small subunit ribosomal RNA", at positions 524 to 776 of the family's 1533-position model. The record is from RNAcentral.